GAUGAAGAACGUAGCGAAAUGCGAUAAGUAAUGUGAAUUGCAGAAUUCAGUGAACCAUCGAAUCUUUGAACGCACAUUGCGCCCGCCAGUAUUCUGGCGGGCAUGCCUGUCUGAGCGUCAUUUCAACCCUCAUGCCCCUAGGGCGUGGUGUUGGGGAUCGGCCAAAGCCCGCGAGGGACGGCCGGCCCCUAAAUCUAGUGGCGGACCCGUCGUGGCCUCCUCUGCGAAGUAGUGAUAUUCCGCAUCGGAGAGCGAUGAGCCCCUGCCGUUAAACCCCCAACUUUCCAAGGUUGACCUCAGAUCAGGUAGGAAUACCCGCUGAACUUAAGCAUAUCAAUAGCGGAGGA
Molecule: unclassified non-coding RNA, 347 nt
Filed under: soil metagenome
Description: partial contains 5.8S ribosomal RNA, internal transcribed spacer 2, and large subunit ribosomal RNA
Rfam family: 5.8S ribosomal RNA (bases 1-120)
Source: RNAcentral